AUGCCCAGGGAAGACAGGUCGACCUGGAAGACCAACUGCUUCCGUAAGAUCAUCCAACUUUUGGAUGAUUAUCUGAAAUGCUUCAUCAUGGGAGCAGACAAUAUGAGCCCCAAGCAGAUGCAACAGAUCCGCAUGUCCCUCCGAGGGAAGACCCUGGUGCUGAUGGGCAAGAAGCCACGAGGCGCAAGGCCAUUCAAGGGCCGCUGGAAAACAACCCAGCUCUGGAUAAACUGUUGCCCCGUAUCCAGGGGAAUGCGGGCUUGUGUUCGCUCACCAAGCAGGACCUCACUGAGAUCAGGGACACGCUGCUAGCCAAUAGAGUGCCAGGUGCCACCUGUGCUGGUGCCAUUGCCCCAUGUGGCGUUACUGUGCCAGCUCAGAACACUGGUCUGGGCCUCAAGAAGAUGUCCUUUUUCCAGGCUUUAGGUAUCAUCACUAAAAUCUCCAGGCAGCACUGAAAUCCUGAGUGAUGUGCAGCUGAUCAAGACUGGAGACAAAGUGGGGGCCAGCGAAGCCAUGCUGCUGAACAUGCUCAGCAUGUCUCCCUUCUCCUUCGGGCUGGACAUCCAGCAGGUGUCUGACAAGAGCAGCCAUAACCCUGAAGGGCUUGACAUCACAGAGGAAGCUCUGCAUCCUGGAUUCCUGAAGGGUGUCCGCAACGUUGCCAUGUCUGUCUGCAGACUGGUUACCCAGCUGUUGCAUCAGCACCCUAUUCUAUCAUCAGUGGGUACAAAUGAGUCCUGGUUUGUCUGUGGAGACUUAUUACACCUUCUGACUUGCUGGAAAGGUCAAGCUGUUCUUGGCUGAUCCAUCUGCCUUUGCAGCUGCUGCCUCUGUGGCCACUGCCACCACUGCUGCUCCUGCUGCUGCUAUAGCCCCAGCUAAGGUUGAAGCCAAGGAAGAUUUGGAGGAGUCGGACAAGAAUAUGGGAUCUCGUCUCUCUGACUAAUCACCAAAAAGCAACCAACUCAGCCAGCUUUAUUUGCAAAACAAGGAAAUAAAGGCUUACUU
This is a non-coding RNA of Callithrix jacchus (white-tufted-ear marmoset), 1011 nucleotides long. The record is from RefSeq and is a predicted model, not a curated record. NCBI's taxonomy places the organism in Eukaryota, Metazoa, Chordata, Mammalia, Primates, Cebidae.